Molecule: transfer RNA, 77 nt
Filed under: Gallionella sp.
Lineage: Bacteria; Pseudomonadati; Pseudomonadota; Betaproteobacteria; Nitrosomonadales; Gallionellaceae
Also listed under: 1 other name
Description: tRNA-Val
Rfam family: tRNA
About the family: Transfer RNA (tRNA) molecules are approximately 80 nucleotides in length. Their secondary structure includes four short double-helical elements and three loops (D, anti-codon, and T loops).
Source: RNAcentral
AGGCGCGUAGCUCAGUUGGUUAGAGCGCUUGGUCGACAUCCAAGAGGUCAGCAGUUCGAGUCUGCUCGUGCCUACCA